AGCCUGACCAUCACCGAAGGCGGCGAGUGUGAUCAUGGCUCAGAUUGAACGCUGGCCGCAGGCCUAUCACAUGCAAGUCGAGCGGCAGCGGGAAAGUAGCUUGCUACUUUUGCCGGCGCCCUGCCGACGGUUAAGCUAUACCUCUGUUGCUGCCCAGUCGAGGGGGAUAACAGUUGGAAACGACUGCUAAUACCGCAUACGCCGUGGCAUUGAGAUCCACGAACCCUAGCGCCUUGCGCGUACUUGAUGGACCCAGGUGGGAUUAGCUAGUUGGUGAGGUAACGGCUCACCUAGGCGAGGUCCCCUAGCUCGUCUGAGCAGGACUUCUCGCCGUACCUGGAACUGUAACACGGUCCAGACUCCUACGGGAGGCAGCAGUGGGGAAUAUUGCACAAUGGGGGAAACCCUGAUGCAGUUAUUCAGUGGCAGUCACCUAGGACUUCCCGGCCGUAAAGCACUUUCAGCGAGGAGGAAAGGUUGGCUCCUAAUAGGUCUUAACUGUGACGUUACUCGCAGAAGAAGCACCGGCUAACUCCGUGCCAGCAGCCGCAGUGAUCCGGAACGGCGCCAAGCGAUCUUUGSMACCGUCACUGGCACGUAAAGCGCACGCAGGCGGUUGGAUAAGUUAGAUGUGAAAGCCCCGGGCUCAACCUGGGGUGCGACGGUGACCUCCAUCAAUUCAGCUAGAGUUUUAACCAGGGGGGUAGAAUUCCAGGUGUAGCGGUGAAAUGCGUAGAGAUCUGGAGGAAUACCGGUGGCGGGCACGACCUCCAGGUCAACGACCGAUGACGAGGUGGGAAACCGGGGGGAGCAAACAGGAUUAGAUACCCUGGUAGUCCACGCCGUAAACGAUGUCGAUCCGGAGGCCGCGUUCGUGACCGGUAUCUUCCAGAGCUCACGCAUUUCAUCGACCGCCUGGGGAGUACGGCCGCAAGGUUAAAACUCAAAUGAAUUGACGGGGACGCGCAUACCAGGUUGAGCCCGGGGAUUAAUCACAUCCAACGCGAAGAACCUUACCUGGCCUUGACAUGUCUGGAAUCCUGAAGAGAUACGCUAGCGCCCUCGGGAUUCAGACCGCGGGUGCUGCACGGAGGUAGUCAGCGCUUCUCGUGAGAUGUUGGGUUAAGUCCCGCAACGAGCGCAACCCCUGUCCUUUGUUGCCAGCACGUAAUGGUGGGAACUCAACGGGGCCUGGCGGCAUCAGACUUGAGCACAGUGUGCAAUACUUCCAGCUACUACGGCCCUUACGGCCAGGGCUACACACGUGCUACAAUGGCGCGUACAGAGGGCCUCAGACCAGCGAUAGUGAGCGUCGCCCAGGUGAGCCGUCACCCUCCCUAUUGGAGUCUGCAACUCGGCUCCAUGAAGUCGGAAUCGCUAGUAAUCGCCAAUCAGAAUGUUGCGGUGAAUACGUUCUCGGCUACCGUUCCCACUGGCCAUCACCCUCCGGCGGGCGGUUUCACCAGACGUUGCUCGCCCGACCUUCGGGAGGGCGUUUACCACGGUGUGAUUCAGUACUGGGGUGAAGU
RNAcentral lists this ribosomal RNA (1529 nucleotides) under Aeromonas hydrophila. RNAcentral's name for it is "bacterial SSU rRNA". Lineage: Bacteria; Pseudomonadati; Pseudomonadota; Gammaproteobacteria; Aeromonadales; Aeromonadaceae. The record is from RNAcentral.